Procambarus clarkii (red swamp crayfish) is the source of this 636-nucleotide long non-coding RNA. RefSeq lists it as uncharacterized. The record is from RefSeq and is a predicted model, not a curated record. Lineage: Eukaryota; Metazoa; Arthropoda; Malacostraca; Decapoda; Cambaridae.
AGUAGCAGCUAAAUAGUCAGCGUUGGACCUGUCCUUCUACGUGGUCGACCAGCAGAAUACGACCGCGAAAUGGUUUAACCAGGUAAACCUCUUGCUGUUGGGCGGACUGACGCUACAGUUAAGGAUUUCCGCCCAGUAAAUCCUCCCCGGCCAGGAGGGGAACCCAGGACAAAGCGCUGGCGAAACUCGAGACGGGCGUCUUGGAUUGCUUAACUAGGUGCUUAAAUGAUGUCGUGGGAGUUCAGUUUAUGGUUGUGGAAGGUCGUGACAACAAUGGAACUUAAAGUUCUGAAGGAACAUGGUUUACGGACUAAUCAUCGUAAAUGUUAGUGAUUUACAAAUAUGAAAUGGAAAGUGCAGAACAUUGGUCCUUCAGUUGGAAUGUGGUGACCAGCUUCAGUUACGGAAUCAGGUGGUAAUGUGUUACAACGGCAUCAAGGCAGUGACUGGCGUGUUCUAAUCUGCAAAAUAGUCUACUAAGCUGGUGAUGGUCCUUUGGAGUUGUCUCUGCCUCUGGGAUCUUCAGUGAUUGCAUCUAGGAACAUCAGUUUACAACAAUCUGAAAUAAAAGAUGUAAUAUAAAUACUGUACUAUGUAAUUUUUUAAAUAAAUCUUUUAAUUAAAACUUUACAUACU